This 253-nucleotide ribosomal RNA is filed under the name uncultured bacterium. RNAcentral describes it as "partial 16S ribosomal RNA". It matches the Rfam family "Bacterial small subunit ribosomal RNA", at positions 524 to 776 of the family's 1533-position model. The record is from RNAcentral.
UACAGAGGGUGCGAGCGUUAAUCGGAAUUACUGGGCGUAAAGCGCGCGUAGGCGGCUUUGCAAGUCGGGUGUGAAAUCCCCAGGCUUAACCUGGGAACUGCAUUCGAGACUGCAUUGCUAGAGUAUGGGAGAGGGAAGUGGAAUUUCCGGUGUAGCGGUGAAAUGCGUAGAUAUCAGGAGGAACACCGGUGGCGAAGGCGGUUCUCUGGGCAUGUUCUGACGCUGAGGAGCGAAAGUGUGGGGAGCGAACAGG